RNAcentral lists this ribosomal RNA (253 nucleotides) under uncultured bacterium. Its description in RNAcentral is "partial 16S ribosomal RNA". It matches the Rfam family "Bacterial small subunit ribosomal RNA", at positions 524 to 776 of the family's 1533-position model. The record is from RNAcentral.
GACGUAGGGGGCAAGCGUUGUCCGGAAUCAUUGGGCGUAAAGCGCUCGUAGGUGGAUCGGUAAGUCUGCAAAGAAAGACCCGGGCUCAACUCGGGGAACGGUGUGGAUACUACCGAUCUUGAGGCAAUCAGAGGAUGAUGGAAUUCCCGGUGUAGCGGUGAAAUGCGUAGAGAUCGGAAAGAACACCAACGGCGAAAGCACUCUGCUGGGCCGACACUGACACUGAGAGACGAAAGCUAGGGGAGCGAAUGGG